This is a long non-coding RNA of Gadus morhua (Atlantic cod), 1333 nucleotides long. RefSeq lists it as uncharacterized. The record is from RefSeq and is a predicted model, not a curated record. The transcript is spliced from 2 exons. Lineage: Eukaryota; Metazoa; Chordata; Actinopteri; Gadiformes; Gadidae.
AGAUCCUCUUUCUACAGACACCUCUGCUGCACAGAGAACCACACAUGGCUCCUACAAUCACUUGACUUGCAAUGACUUCUUCCAAGGAGCACCUGGCCCUGACCCACAAGGUCAGAAAGCAUUAUUGAGCAGUUCAGGUCUCUGCUGGGUCCAGAGUUCUUCAAAAAAGACCCUGACUGCAAGAUGGAGAAAGCAGACAUUCUGAAGAUGACAGUUGAGUUUGACCAUGGAAGCUCUGUUUCCUGUUAAUCAGCUGCCAACAGGGGACACUCCAGGUGUGUCCAGGAGGUGGUCCACUUCCUGUCUAAGGAUGAGAAGAAGACACUGGCCAACAACAGAAUGUUGGUUCACUUCCAGAACCUUCGGACCUCCUCUGAUAGGCUGACUGAGGGUUGUUCAAUUCAGCUGAGCUCUCCACUCAAGAACAACAUCACCAAAGAGGGAUCAGUUAACAGCGCCAUCUGGAGGCCCUGGUAGAAACCUACACACUGGGUGUGCUAGACAACGUUGACCAUGUUGGUUAUGUCAUGUUGUUGGAAAUAUAGACUAUUAACUCAAUGUGGUAAUUCUUUAUUGUUUAAGAUCACAUUAUUCUUCUAAAAGAAGAAGACCCCCACACAGGUUUCCGCUACGUGUUGUAGUAUACUAUAUCAACUGUCUGUUAUUACAGACUCACACUUUACAGUUUGAUGUUCAAACUGAAUGGCAAUUCUUUCAGAACAUAUUAAGCCUCUUUCUCCCAUGUAAAUAUAGUGCAUGUUUGUGCAUUUAUUUACGUAUAAUUAAUUGCUAAUGAUCAUAUUGAUCUAUUCUGUGUUCUUACUUUAAAUCUGUGAUCUGUAAUCUGUGCUCUAUCAAAUAGUGAUCUGUUUCAAGAUCAAAGAGUAAGUUUUAUCUGUUUACAUACAUAGUAUGAGGUUAUUCUUAUACACACAUGUGGUGAAAUUUGUAUUUUCAGGAAAAUUAACAAUUCAAUUUUCAUUAGCAUUACUAUCCUAAUUGGAUCCUAAAUCAUCACUUUGUGAUGACACGAUUCUGAUCAGUAAUAUGAUUAUGUUGCCAGUAGCCUUUUAUGAUGAAGCAUAAAACCUUGGAUUCAUGAUGAACAUGUGCUUCACGUUUAAGUAUAAUGUCAACUCAAUAUUGUUACAUGUAACAUAUUUGAUAUGUCUUCUAUGAAGACAACGGUUGAAUGUAUAUCCCCUACUCUGUUUGAGUAUAAUGUGUUUUGGAGAUUAUUUUUUUGUGUGAUGUGUCAUCACCUCUACUGGAAUUCAGUUAAAGUUUUACUUUUCUGAAAUCAUCUGUUUGAAUAAACAAACAUGAACUUCAA